CGCUUUUAACACAAAGUUAAUACGAGUCGUACUGAUAAGGUUUGCAAAUGAGUGUUUUCCUUAGCAUAUUUACACAGAAUUGGCAUUGUAAAUUAAAGUAUACACAAGUCACGAAGUGGUUUCCUUUUUCAGACGGUGCCUCUUCAGGAAACGGGCAUUGAUCAUUUUCAUCCUGUAUAAAAUAUUAAUACAAUUGCAUGACACCGGGUUUUCUCAUACUUCAUUACAAUUGCUAAUGCGAAAUCUGAAUUGCACUGACAAAUUUUGCAUAAUACUGAAAGCUAGCGCCACAAACUAUCUUUUUCCAGUAGGCGAUCGGCCGUCGACAGUUGAACAUUAUAAAGAUUUUAUUUCUCUAAAAGGAUAUUUACAUAAUUUUACUUUUCAUAGUUAUACAUUUACAUAGAGCGGAAUGUAUUUGUUAUUCAGCUCAUUACUAUGUGAUAUCACGUCUCUCAAAUGAACAAUCAGGAUUCACACAACACUUCGGACAUGAUUUAAAUGUUGUGUCCAGUUGGUCAAAGCUUUAAGAUGCGUUAACACGGAUAAGAUGACCCAGUACCUGUCUUCUACCCGUUCUGGUACAUUACAUCAAUUUAUCAAGAAUUCGAAAUGGAAUCUAGAUAUAUGCAAGAAGUUAAAACACCUACAGCUAUAUGGACACAUAACACAUUGAGUGGAAGGUAUGAUGCUUCACUAUAAGACAACUUAAACGUGGAAUGAUGGUGUUUUCCUGGCGAUUUGGUAUGAAUACUGAUGAGAAGCGGUCACUUCAACGCGCACCUGUUGACAGAAUAGUCAUCAAUACAUGUGUUAGACAGACUUAGAUAAUAUGAAGGCGGAGAAUGACUCAGGGAACAUAGUACAAAAUUAAAUCAUUGUGGCUAAUCAAUGUUUGUAAACUCAAUUUGUAUUGAAGAGCCCUACUGACGUUGAUUCUAUGUUUCCGGCGGCCAUAUUAGUAAGUGGGGCGUUGACAAAGAUGAUUACAGUAAUAAUUAAGUUUAUCGUCACACGAAGGACUCACUUAGAGGCAAUCCAUUCUCGUUGUAUAAAGGAAAACUUUAAAACAGAUUCCAACAACAGUCUAACCAGGGGCGGAUCCAGCCAUUUUUAAAA
Molecule: long non-coding RNA, 1119 nt
Organism: Mytilus californianus (California mussel)
Lineage: Eukaryota; Metazoa; Mollusca; Bivalvia; Mytilida; Mytilidae
Exons: 6
Source: RefSeq, a predicted model, not a curated record